UACAGAGGGUGCAAGCGUUGUUCGGAAUUAUUGGGCGUAAAGAGCUCGUAGGCGGUUUGUCGCGUCUGCUGUGAAAUCCCAGGGCUUAACCCUGGGCCUGCAGUGGGUACGGGCAAACUAGAGUGCGGUAGGGGAGAUCGGAAUUCCUGGUGUAGCGGUGAAAUGCGCAGAUAUCAGGAGGAACACCGAUGGCGAAGGCAGGUCUCUGGGCAUUAACUGACGCUGAGGAGCGAAAGCAUGGGGAGCGAACAGG
RNAcentral lists this ribosomal RNA (253 nucleotides) under uncultured bacterium. RNAcentral's name for it is "partial 16S ribosomal RNA". It matches the Rfam family "Bacterial small subunit ribosomal RNA", at positions 524 to 776 of the family's 1533-position model. The record is from RNAcentral.